AGCAGUAGGGAAUCUUCCGCAAUGGACGAAAGUCUGACGGAGCAACGCCGCGUGAGUGAUGAAGGUUUUCGGAUCGUAAAGCUCUGUUGUUAGGGAAGAACAAGUGCGAGAGUAACUGCUCGCACCUUGACGGUACCUAACCAGAAAGCCACGGCUAACUACGUGCCAGCAGCCGCGGUAAUACGUAGGUGGCAAGCGUUGUCCGGAAUUAUUGGGCGUAAAGGGCUCGCAGGCGGUUUCUUAAGUCUGAUGUGAAAGCCCCCGGCUCAACCGGGGAGGGUCAUUGGAAACUGGGAAACUUGAGUGCAGAAGAGGAGAGUGGAAUUCCACGUGUAGCGGUGAAAUGCGUAGAGAUGUGGAGGAACACCAGUGGCGAAGGCGACUCUCUGGUCUGUAACUGACGCUGAGGAGCGAAAGCGUGGGGAGCGAACAGGAUUAGAUACCCUGGUAGUCCACGCCGUAAACGAUGAGUGCUAAGUGUUAGGGGGUUUCCGCCCCUUAGUGCUGCAGCUAACGCAUUAAGCACUCCGCCUGGGGAGUACGGUCGCAAGACUGAAACUCAAAGGAAUUGACGGGGGCCCGCACAAGCGGUGGAGCAUGUGGUUUAAUUCGAAGCAACGCGAAGAACCUUACCAGGUCUUGACAUCCUCUGACAACCCUAGAGAUAGGGCUUUCCCUUCGGGGACAGAGUGACAGGUGGUGCAUGGUUGUCG
This 713-nucleotide ribosomal RNA is filed under the name Bacillus sp. (in: firmicutes). RNAcentral's name for it is "bacterial SSU rRNA". It matches the Rfam family "Bacterial small subunit ribosomal RNA", at positions 350 to 1054 of the family's 1533-position model. The record is from RNAcentral. Lineage: Bacteria; Bacillati; Bacillota; Bacilli; Caryophanales; Bacillaceae.